AUGCAGUCGAACGCUUCUUUUUCCCCGGAGCUUGCUCCCCGGAAAAAGAGGAGUGGCGAACGGGUGAGUAACACGUGGGUAACCUGCCCAUCAGAAGGGGAUAACACUUGGAAACAGGUGCUAAUACCGUAUAACAAUCGAAACCGCAUGGUUUUGAUUUGAAAGGCGCUUUCGGGUGUCGCUGAUGGAUGGACCCGCGGUGCAUUAGCUAGUUGGUGAGGUAACGGCUCACCAAGGCCACGAUGCAUAGCCGACCUGAGAGGGUGAUCGGCCACAUUGGGACUGAGACACGGCCCAAACUCCCACGGGAGGCAGCAGUAGGGAAUCUUCGGCAAUGGACGAAAGUCUGACCGAGCAACGCCGCGUGAGUGAAGAAGGUUUUCGGAUCGUAAAACUCUGUUGUUAGAGAAGAACAAGGAUGAGAGUAACUGUUCAUCCCUUGACGGUAUCUAACCAGAAAGCCACGGCUAACUACGUGCCAGCAGCCGCGGUAAUACGUAGGUGGCAAGCGUUGUCCGGAUUUAUUGGGCGUAAAGCGAGCGCAGGCGGUUUCUUAAGUCUGAUGUGAAAGCCCCCGGCUCAACCGGGGAGGGUCAUUGGAAACUGGGAGACUUGAGUGCAGAAGAGGAGAGUGGAAUUCCUGUGUAGCGGUGAAUGCGUAGAUAUAUGGAGGAACCCAGUGGCGAAGCGGCUCUCUGUCUGAACUGACCUGA
This 713-nucleotide ribosomal RNA is filed under the name uncultured bacterium. RNAcentral describes it as "bacterial SSU rRNA". It matches the Rfam family "Bacterial small subunit ribosomal RNA", at positions 55 to 749 of the family's 1533-position model. The record is from RNAcentral.